Long non-coding RNA from Mauremys reevesii (Reeves's turtle), 229 nucleotides. RefSeq lists it as uncharacterized. Lineage: Eukaryota; Metazoa; Chordata; Testudines; Geoemydidae. The record is from RefSeq and is a predicted model, not a curated record. The transcript has 3 exons.
UGCCAGAGCCAACCUCCAUCAUCUCCAGCUCCAUGGCUGCAGUUUGCAGCCUCAGCAAACUGAAGCCGCUGCUUGCCCUGGAGCUGGAAUCACGCCUCCUGCGGGCUCUUCUUUACACCAUCUUCACGAUGGGCACUGGGCAGGAUACCACCCACUUCCAGGCUCUGCACAACACCUAUUUACAGAGGCUGGACGCCAUGGUCGGGUGCCUGCUCACUGAGACCCCACC